Molecule: ribosomal RNA, 496 nt
Filed under: Ascochyta fabae
Lineage: Eukaryota; Fungi; Ascomycota; Dothideomycetes; Pleosporales; Didymellaceae
Description: eukaryotic LSU rRNA
Rfam family: 5.8S ribosomal RNA (bases 125-278)
Source: RNAcentral
UUUGCCUGCUAUCUCUUACCCAUGUCUUUUGAGUACCUUCGUUUCCUCGGCGGGUUCGCCCGCCGAUUGGACAAUUUAAACCAUUUGCAGUUGCAAUCAGCGUCUGAAAAAACAUAAUAGUUACAACUUUCAACAACGGAUCUCUUGGUUCUGGCAUCGAUGAAGAACGCAGCGAAAUGCGAUAAGUAGUGUGAAUUGCAGAAUUCAGUGAAUCAUCGAAUCUUUGAACGCACAUUGCGCCCCUUGGUAUUCCAUGGGGCAUGCCUGUUCGAGCGUCAUUUGUACCUUCAAGCUCUGCUUGGUGUUGGGUGUUUGUCUCGCCUCUGCGUGUAGACUCGCCUCAAAACAAUUGGCAGCCGGCGUAUUGAUUUCGGAGCGCAGUACAUCUCGCGCUUUGCACUCAGAACGACGACGUCCAAAAGUACAUUUUUACACUCUUGACCUCGGAUCAGGUAGGGAUACCCGCUGAACUUAAGCAUAUCAAUAAGCGGAGGAA